UUUUAGUAGAGACGGGGUUUCACUGUGUUAACCAGGAUGGUCUCGAUCUCCUGACCUCGUGAUCCGCCCGUCUCGGCCUCCUAAAGUGCUGGGAUUACAGGCUUGAGCCACUGCGCCCGGCCAUAGGGUUCUCUCAUCACGAGGCAUCUAUGCAUCUGCAUGGGCCCCGACUCCACAACCUCCAGCCUUCCUAUGUGCUUCCUCAUCCUAAGUUGGUCACCAGUCCCAAGUUGGUGGAAGGAACUCGAGGUACCGGCCAGGUGGGCAGACACCAGCAGCUGCAGUCGGUCUCGUGUCACACAGCUGCGCAAAGUGGCUCCACACACACCCACCGGGUCCGGAGGAUGCUGCCCCUGGCUUGAGGACCACUCAGUGCUGGCAGCCUCACCACAGUCCAGGUGUUGACUGUACAGGGAGGCCCUCAGCCCCGUCCACCUAGUCCUGGGCCACCCCGCCCUGGCCCCCACGGCUGGAACCCAGCCUGCUCCAGUACUGGAUGUGCCCUCUGUGGCUUGGAGGCCACGCGGGCAGAAAAGGGGCUGUGGGUGCAGCACACGUGGCCUACCCACAGCAACUGGAGUCCACCUUCCCCAGCAAAGCCCCAGCUGCAGGAAGACCUUGCUUGGGGCAGGGGGCACACAAGGGGGCUGCUGAAAAAGCUCCUGGUGAAGCCGAGCAGCCACAGGCUGUUGAAGGGGCCAUGGGCCUGGUCUCACAGGCUCCUGGGCUGUGUGGCAGGUGGCUCCAGUCCCCAACCAGUGUUUGGGUAGUAUGGCCUCUCACCCUCCUCACUGGGCAUCACUGGGGAGGGUCAUCCGAGCAGGGGUCACGAAGUGGAGAGGGUCUAGUACAUGGGCCAGUGUGGCCAGCUUAUAAAAUGGAAUAAAAUGGCACGUCUUGUCCCGUCAUCAUUUUUGGCUGAUUGUUAAGACGGGACUGUGUGAGGAUUCAGGGUUCAGGAGGGACACUGGAGCUGUUAGAUGUGGCGGUUCAUGAAAGAAGAGCAUCUUAUGUGUUGUUUUAAAAUAAUUUUUAAAAUUAAAAAAUGAUAAAGCCUA
This is a non-coding RNA of Macaca mulatta (Rhesus monkey), 1058 nucleotides long. The record is from RefSeq and is a predicted model, not a curated record. NCBI's taxonomy places the organism in Eukaryota, Metazoa, Chordata, Mammalia, Primates, Cercopithecidae.